AGCGCGUGUGCGGGGCAGGCUGGCGCGGAGCUGGUCGGAGGCGCGGGUGGGGGGGGGGCGGCUACACUGGCGCGGCGCUGCUUUUCUGGAAGGGGAUUGCCGAGGGCCGAGGUGGCUGGAGGAUCCCCACGGAAGUCUGUGGCUUGCAAGAGCCCCUCACCCCCGCCUGGGUGGCCAAGAUUGUCAUUGGGGCCACCCCAGCGUGAGCGUGCACACGUAUUCCUUCCCCCCGCCCCCUGCACACACAACGCGUUGCAAUUUCCAAAAACUGAUCAGACUAAAAUGAAGAUGCUUUCCUCAUUCAACAUUCAUCUGAGACUGGCCUGUAACAAUUAGGCCUCAAUCAUAUGACAAGAUGGGUUACAAAGGCGUGUACACCAAUCACAUGACUCAUUACUACUACUAGAGAGCCAGUGUGGACUAGUGGUUGGAGAGCUGGACUGGGACCAGGGAGACCCGAGUUCAAAUCCCCAUUCAGCCAUGUAACUCACUGGGUGACUCUGGGCCAGUCAUUUUUCUCUCAGCCUAACCUACCUUACAGAGUUGUGAGGACAAGCCCAAUCUUGUAUACCACUCUAGGCUCCUCAGAGGAAGUGUGGGAUAUAAAUAAAUAAUAAAUACUGCAACACAUAUGUUUCAAUGAAACAAAAAUAUUCAAUAGUCUGGGUUUCCCUGGCAUGGUUCCCAGCCCCUAAAUUGCCUUUCUAACUUUAAAUUAGUGUUAAUGACGUUAAGGCAGAGCACUAUUUGAGCCAGACCUCAGUUUCAUUACUGACUUCUGGAACAUGAGAUUAAAUAGAAGUGCCUCUGAGUAUGGACUGAGUGCAUCUCCCUCACCAUAGUAGAACCAGAAUCAAUUGACAAAUAUACAUGGGUAUAGGGGGAAAAAAGUGAACAGUAAGGCCAAAAAGUCAUGAAAUGCAAAGGGUACAGUCUGUAACAUUUCUGUGCAAAGCACAGAAAUGUAUACAAGAUAAGCACAGUGACCAUUUAGAGCAGCAGUAAUUGAUGAUAACACAAUCUUCCCCUAUUGAGCCCUAAAUGAAUAGAAUCAAACUUGCUGAUAAAUUCUAGUUCAGCAGUUUCCCACUGGAGUUUGCCUUUGAAGGUGCUUUCUAAAAAAAAUCUGAAUUAUGGUGACUUUCAGGUCCGCAAGAGUAUAUAUUGGGAGACUGAAAUGUUCUCGUGCUGGUUUCUGAAUGGUGCCCAUUUUUUAAUGUCAGAUUUGUGCCCAUUUAUUUAAGGGGUAGAAUCUAUUUUAUUGUACCCCUGCUAACUGUGCAAAGAGGCACCUUUUUAACGUGGUGAUUCUCUUUAUUUAGCAGGGGGAGAGUAACUGGCCCUAUCCACCCCCCGCACAGUACCUCCAGUGACUGUUGCUGGUGUCUAUGUUACAUUUCGCAGCUUGGGAGUAUUACUGGACCCGGCUCUGCUUUUGGAAGCUCAGGUGGAGGCGGUGGCCAGGGGUGCCUUUGCACGGCUUUGGCUAGUGCUCCAGCUGUGCCCCUUUCUCGAGAAGGCAGAUCUGGCCACAGUUACCCAUGCCUUAGUCACGUCAUGGCUGGAUUACUUUAAUGCGCUCUGCGUGGGGCUGCCCUUGAAGAAUAUCCGGAAACUGCAGCUAGUGCAAAAUACGGCAGCUAGGGUUUUAUCUGGAGCUGCCCAUUCGGAUCACAUCACACCCAUUUUGAAAGAGGUGCACUGGCUACCAGUUUGUUUCCGGGUCUAAUUCAAGGUGCUGGUUUUGACCUUUAAAGCCCUUAGCAGUUUGGGCCCAGGAUACCUGAGGGACCACUGCUCCCAAGGGUUUCUGCCCGCUUGACAAGGUCAUCUGAGGGGGCUCUGCUCCAGGUGCUGACAAUGAGGGAGGCUCGGUUGUCAUGCAUGCGGAACAGGGCCUUCUCUGUUGCUGCCCCCAGACUCUGGAAUGCUCUCCCGGUGGCUCUUUGCUCCUCGGUCUCCAUCACAGCUUUUAGAAAGCAUGUUAAAUCCUGGCUUUUUACCUAGGCUUUUAUAUGAUUGUCUCUUCUGUUGCUCUUUGUAUUUUGUACUGUUUUUAUGCUUGUGUUUUAAAUUUUUAAUCAGAUUUGUUUUAUGUUUUUAGCUUAAUAUUUUAAUUGGUGUUUUUUUUAAAAAAAACAAUCUUGUUUUUAAAUUCUGCUGUAAACCGCCUUGGGAUUAUUUUAAUGAAAUGCGGUAUAUAAAUGUAACAAACAAACAAAUAAAUAAGAUUUCUUUUAGAUUGUGAGCCCUUUGGGGACAGAGAUCCAUCUUAUUUAUUUAUUAUUUCUCUAUGUAAACCACUUUGGAAACUUUUGUUGAAAUGGGCUAUAUAAAUAUUUGUUGUUGUUGUUGUUGAA
Molecule: long non-coding RNA, 2360 nt
Organism: Hemicordylus capensis (graceful crag lizard)
Lineage: Eukaryota; Metazoa; Chordata; Lepidosauria; Squamata; Cordylidae
Exons: 2
Source: RefSeq, a predicted model, not a curated record